GAUGAACGCUGGCGGCGUGCCUAAUACAUGCAAGUCGAGCGAACAGACGAGGAGCUUGCUCCUCUGACGUUAGCGGCGGACGGGUGAGUAACACGUGGAUAACCUACCUAUAAGGCUGGGAUAACUUCGGGAAACCGGAGCUAAUACCGGAUAAUAUAUUUAACCGCAUGGUUCAAUAGUGAAAGACGGUUUUGCUGUCACUUAUAGAUGGAUCCGCGCCGCAUUAGCUAGUUGGUAAGGUAACGGCUUACCAAGGCAACGAUGCGUAGCCGACCUGAGAGGGGGAUCGGGCACACUGGAACUGAGACACGGUCCAGACUCCUACGGGAGGCAGCAGUAGGGAAUCUUCCGCAAUGGGCGAAAGCCUGCCGGAGCAACGCCGCGUGAGUGAUGAAGGUCUUCGGAUCGUAAAACUCUGUUAUUAGGGAAGACCAAAUGUGUAAGUAACUAUGCACGUCUUGACGGUACCUAAUAAGAAAGCAACGGCUAACUACGUG
RNAcentral lists this ribosomal RNA (497 nucleotides) under uncultured bacterium. RNAcentral's name for it is "partial 16S ribosomal RNA". It matches the Rfam family "Bacterial small subunit ribosomal RNA", at positions 28 to 507 of the family's 1533-position model. The record is from RNAcentral.